RNAcentral lists this ribosomal RNA (253 nucleotides) under uncultured bacterium. Its description in RNAcentral is "partial 16S ribosomal RNA". It matches the Rfam family "Bacterial small subunit ribosomal RNA", at positions 524 to 776 of the family's 1533-position model. The record is from RNAcentral.
UACGAAGGGGGCUAGCGUUGCUCGGAAUUACUGGGCGUAAAGGGCGCGUAGGCGGCACUGUUAGUCAGGCGUGAAAUUCCUGGGCUCAACCUGGGGACUGCGCUUGAUACGGCAGAGCUAGAGGAUGGAAGAGGCUCGCGGAAUUCCCAGUGUAGAGGUGAAAUUCGUAGAUAUUGGGAAGAACACCGGUGGCGAAGGCGGCGAGCUGGGUAGAUACUGACGCUGAGGCGCGAAAGCGUGGGGAGCAAACAGG